AUUGAACGCUGGCGGCGUGCCUAACACAUGCAAGUCGAGCGGGUAACAGGUGUAGCAAUACAUGCUGACGAGCGGCGGACGGGUGAGUAACGCUUGGGAAUCUGCCUAUUAGUGGGGGACAACCCGGGGAAACUCGGGCUAAUACCGCAUACGCUCUACGGAGGAAAGCCGGGGACCGCUAAAGGCCUUGGCGCUAAUAGAUGAGCCCAAGUCGGAUUAGCUAGUUGGUAGGGUAANGGCCUACCAAGGCGACGAUCCGUAACUGGUCUGAGAGGACGACCAGGUCACACCGGAACU
This 297-nucleotide ribosomal RNA is filed under the name uncultured bacterium. Its description in RNAcentral is "partial 16S ribosomal RNA". It matches the Rfam family "Bacterial small subunit ribosomal RNA", at positions 30 to 320 of the family's 1533-position model. The record is from RNAcentral.